This is a long non-coding RNA of Toxorhynchites rutilus septentrionalis, 418 nucleotides long. RefSeq lists it as uncharacterized. The record is from RefSeq and is a predicted model, not a curated record. NCBI's taxonomy places the organism in Eukaryota, Metazoa, Arthropoda, Insecta, Diptera, Culicidae. The transcript is spliced from 3 exons.
UGUUAUUGUUUAUGUUUUGUUUUGUGCUGAAAUGCGUUGUGAACGAUAAUCCCUGAACAAUCCCGAAUGUUCCUGAAGAUACAGGAGCAGAUUCGGGAUAUACUGUUUAGUGUUUUUUUAAUUGUGUUGUGUGUGCAGAAUAAAGUGUUAGAAAUUCAAUGUGUGCUACUUUUCAUUUUUUAAAUCCGACAGUACGGACCGGUGCAGACCGUAACAGUCUGGGCGGAAUACAAAUCCGGAUUGAAGCGAAACCUCGCUCACAACAAACGGGAGCAAAGAGCGACAGGUGGAGGACCCAAUAAAGUGAUCAAUUUAUCCGCUGGAGGAGCAGGUGGUUCAAUUACUUGCGACCGUGGAAGGAAUCCCGGAUACCUCAUCGCAUGGACCCCAGUCUGGUUCGUCUUAGGGACCACCUCAA